This is a long non-coding RNA of Salvia splendens (bonfire salvia), 206 nucleotides long. RefSeq lists it as uncharacterized. Lineage: Eukaryota; Viridiplantae; Streptophyta; Magnoliopsida; Lamiales; Lamiaceae. The transcript is spliced from 3 exons. The record is from RefSeq and is a predicted model, not a curated record.
UUUUGCACAGAGUGAGGUUUAAUGGUACUUUCAGCAUGUCGGAGUAGCGUCUUCUAAAUCCAAAACAGCUCGAGUUGUGUCAGUAGAAAAUGAUCCAAACGACCCAACCAUUGGUUUCUUAUUGGAUGGGAUGGUCCGGCUUUGCUGUCUGGUCCGCAAGUAUAUUGCAGCCAUUAGAGGCUAUGCCUUAUCAUACCUAUCAUCCG